Molecule: ribosomal RNA, 506 nt
Filed under: uncultured bacterium
Lineage: Bacteria
Description: partial 16S ribosomal RNA
Rfam family: Bacterial small subunit ribosomal RNA
Source: RNAcentral
AGCGAACGCUGGCGGUAGGCCUAACACAUGCAAGUCGAACGGCAGCACAGGAGAGCUUGCUCUCUGGGUGGCGAGUGGCGGACGGGUGAGGAAUACAUCGGAAUCUACUCUGUCGUGGGGGAUAACGUAGGGAAACUUACGCUAAUACCGCAUACGACCUACGGGUGAAAGCAGGGGACCUUCGGGCCUUGCGCGAUUGAAUGAGCCGAUGUCGGAUUAGCUAGUUGGCGGGGUAAAGGCCCACCAAGGCGACGAUCCGUAGCUGGUCUGAGAGGAUGAGCGGCGACACUGGAACUGAGACACGGACAAGACUCCUACGGGAGGCAGCAGUGGGGAAUAUUGGACAAUGGGCGCAAGGCUGCUCCAGCCAUGCCGCGUGGGUGAAGAAGGCCUUCGGGUUGUAAAGCCCUUUUGUUGGGAAAGAAAUCCAGCUGGCUAAUACCCGGUUGGGAUGACGGUACCCAAAGAAUAAGCACCGGCUAACUUCGUGCCAGCAGCCGCGGUAA